AACGAACGCUGGCGGCAUACCUAACACAUGCAAGUCGAACGAGACCUUCGGGUCUAGUGGCGCACGGGUGCGUAACGCGUGGGAACCUGCCCUUAGGUUCGGAAUAACUCCCCGAAAGGGGUGCUAAUACCGGAUAAUGUCCUCGGACCAAAGAUUUAUCGCCUUUGGAUGGGCCCGCGUUGGAUUAGCUAGUUGGUAGGGUAAAAGCCUACCAAGGCGACGAUCCAUAGCUGGUCUGAGAGGAUGAUCAGCCACACUGGGACUGAGACACGGCCCAGACUCCUACAGGAGGCAGCAGUGGGGAAUAUUGGACAAUGGGCGAAAGCCUGAUCCAGCAAUGCCGCGUGAGUGAUGAAGGCCUUAGGGUUGUAAAGCUCUUUUACCCGGGAUGAUAAUGACAGUACCGGGAGAAUAAGCUCCGGCUAACUCCGUG
RNAcentral lists this ribosomal RNA (433 nucleotides) under uncultured bacterium. RNAcentral's name for it is "partial 16S ribosomal RNA". It matches the Rfam family "Bacterial small subunit ribosomal RNA", at positions 29 to 507 of the family's 1533-position model. The record is from RNAcentral.